UACGUAGGGUGCAAGCGUUGUCCGGAAUUACUGGGUGUAAAGGGUGCGUAGGCGGAACUGCGCGUCGAAGGUUAAAGACCUCGGCUCAACCGAGGAAGUGCCUUCGAUACGGCAGUUCUAGAGUAUAGGAGAGGAUGAUAGAAUUCCUGGUGUAGCGGUGAAAUGCGUAGAUAUCAGGAGGAAUACCAGUGGCGAAGGCGGUCAUCUGGCCUAUUACUGACGCUCAGGCACGAAAGCGUGGGGAUCAAACAGGAUUAGAAACCCCGGUAGU
This 271-nucleotide ribosomal RNA is filed under the name uncultured bacterium. RNAcentral describes it as "partial 16S ribosomal RNA". It matches the Rfam family "Bacterial small subunit ribosomal RNA", at positions 524 to 794 of the family's 1533-position model. The record is from RNAcentral.